CCGCUCUGAGAGGCCCCCUGCAGACGCCCAGAGGAGGACUUACAGACCUGCUGCUCUCUGUCUAGGAGUGCUGUGCAUCCUGAUGAUAACUGCAAUCAUUGCCUUAAGCAUUCACUCGACACCCAUACCUUCACUCUAGAAAUAAAGAAAAGCUCAUAUUUCAGUCACUUUAGAAAAGAACGAGCUGCAGACCAGGUACAACAAACUGAACAACAACAGCCAGCUCGUUUCAGGGAAGCUGUGUCCUGGAGGAUGGAAGAGAUUUGGAUGCAGUUGCUACUUUAAAUCCGAUAAGCGGAAAACAUGGUAUGAUAGCAGAUCUGACUGUGAGCAGAGAGGAGCAGAUCUGGUGGUCAUCAACAACAAAGAGGAACAGAAGUUUGUCAAUGAAUUUAAUUCACAAGGAGAGGCCUGGAUUGGUCUACAGGCCACAAAGGGAAAAUCUACACCAAAUGGAUGGGUGUACGAAUGGGAAUGGGUCGACGGAUCACUGCUGACAGAAAUGUUCUGGGAAUCAGGAACGCCAAACCAUGUCUCAAUCCAGAACACUUCAGCAUACUGCAAUCAACAUGGACAAUGGAAACAAAAACUACCAUAUCUCUUAAAUAACUGCAUCUGUGAGAAAUAGAUUUCUUGAAUGAUUUGAUGAGGGUGGGCGGCUCUGAGAUCAGCUUUGUCAAAUUGUAACAGCUAGCGUUAUACAUUGUUUAAAUGUGUUCAUUCUGUUCUGUUUGCUGAAUUACUUGGAAUUCAUACAAAUUGUUUCUCUGGCUUUAAUGUGCGGUUUAUUCUUUCAGAUUGAUUAUAAUAAAAGUAAAUAAAGACAUGGAAUCACAUGGUCUUUACUUGGCUUUAUAUAGUUAAUUCAUACAUUUGUAUUUAGUAAAAUGGUUUUGAUACAACAGUAGUCACCAGAUCCUAAUUUUAAGCUUCCAGGAGAAGGAACCAUUUAUGAAGUUUCAUUUGAUUUCCAUUCAGCCUGUGUAAUGAGUGUUUGUUCAAAUGUACUUCAAGGGACUGCAAUUAAUGUCCACAAAGCAAAAACGUACUGUUGGCUUCCAUUAUAAAUAAGUAUAUUUCCCUUAUUUUAAACCAAGACCUGGUUUGAAUCCAGAUGCAGCACUUUCAUAAAUACAUAGAUGAUGCGUCUUUGUUAGCCACUUUUACUUAAUCAGUCUUGGUUUUCCAAAGCUACAUGCAAACCAAGGUUAGUUCUUUUUUAGUCCAGAAGGUGGAGGUACUGUGCCAAAAACACACUUUAGCCAACAAAUUGUAAACAUAAAAAUACAAGGCUGCCCUUGAAUAUAAUUUGGUGUUUAACAGAGUUGUUCAAUAUCAGUAUACUGGCAGGUGUCACAUGGCACAAAUACAGGGUAAAUGCAUUAUCACUUUACAAGGGGAAAACAUACCUACUAGUUACAAUAUACAAAUGUAAAUAUG
Long non-coding RNA from Notothenia coriiceps (black rockcod), 1440 nucleotides. RefSeq lists it as uncharacterized. The transcript has 5 exons. Lineage: Eukaryota; Metazoa; Chordata; Actinopteri; Perciformes; Nototheniidae. The record is from RefSeq and is a predicted model, not a curated record.